CUAGCUUAGAGAACUUAGGGCUUAGGUGGUUAGACUAGCACGACAAGGUUUAGGACGUCUUGACCGCCUCUUGUCCCGUUGUUCCGAUAGUUAGCAUAUCUCUACUCCUCUCGGAGAAAAUCUUGUAUUCAUACUAUUCAAUAAAACGCCUCUGAGCGAUUAUCUAUCUUUUUAUCGUUUUAAAGUGAUUACGCAGAGAAUUCGGACCUUCAAGGAAAAACGGGUUGACUCGGUUUUCCUCCAUUAUUAUUUAUUAUAAUCGACAGUGUGAAUUUCGGUUCCCACUAAACGUUUAUUACGA
RNAcentral lists this long non-coding RNA (301 nucleotides) under Brassica napus (rape). RNAcentral's name for it is "long non-coding RNA (BNAP_LNC025956)". The record is from RNAcentral. Lineage: Eukaryota; Viridiplantae; Streptophyta; Magnoliopsida; Brassicales; Brassicaceae.